RNAcentral lists this ribosomal RNA (393 nucleotides) under uncultured bacterium. Its description in RNAcentral is "bacterial SSU rRNA". It matches the Rfam family "Bacterial small subunit ribosomal RNA", at positions 505 to 898 of the family's 1533-position model. The record is from RNAcentral.
GUGCCAGCCGCCGCGGUAAUACGGAAGGGGCUAGCGUUGUUCGGAAUCACUGGGCGUAAAGCGCGCGUAGGCGGCUUGGCAAGUGAGGCGUGAAAGUCCUGGGCUCAACCUGGGGACGGCGCUUCAGACUGCUGGGCUUGAGUCCGGAAGAGGGUGGUGGAAUUCCGAGUGUAGAGGUGAAAUUCGUAGAUAUUCGGAGGAACACCGGCGGCGAAGGCGGCCACCUGGUCCGGAACUGACGCUCAAGUGCGAAAGCGUGGGGAGCAAACAGGAUUAGAUACCCUGGUAGUCCACGCCGUAAACGAUGGGUGCUGGAUGUCGGGGGGCUUGCCCUUCGGUGUCGUAGCUAACGCGUUAAGCACCCCGCCUGGGGAGUACGGCCGCAAGGUUAAA